UACGUAGGUGGCAAGCGUUAUCCGGAUUUACUGGGUGUAAAGGGAGCGUAGACGGCAUUGCAAGUCUGAUGUGAAAGAUUGGGGCUCAACCCCAGGCCUGCAUUGGAAACUGUAAAGCUGGAGUACAGGAGAGGUAAGCGGAAUUCCUAGUGUAGCGGUGAAAUGCGUAGAUAUUAGGAGGAACACCAGUGGCGAAGGCGGCUUACUGGACUGUAACUGACGUUGAGGCUCGAAAGCGUGGGGAGCAAACA
Molecule: ribosomal RNA, 251 nt
Filed under: uncultured bacterium
Lineage: Bacteria
Description: partial 16S ribosomal RNA
Rfam family: Bacterial small subunit ribosomal RNA
Source: RNAcentral